CCUGAUGCAGCAACGCCGCGUGAGGUAUGAAGGCCUUUGGGUGUGUGAAGCCUCUGUCCUAGGGGAAGAAAAAAAUGACGGUACCCGAGGAGGAAGCCCCGGCUAACUACGUGCCAGCAGCCGCGGUAAUACGUAGGGGGCAAGCGUUAUCCGGAAUUAUUGGGCGUAAAGAGUGCGUAGGUGGUCUACUAAGCGCGAGGUGAAAGGCAAUGGCUCAACCAUUGUUAGCCUUGUGAACUGGCAGACUUGAGUGCAAGAGAGGAAAGCGGAAUUCCUAGUGUAGCGGUGAAAUGCGCAGAUAUUAGGAGGAACACCGGCGGCGAAGGCGGCUUUCUGGAUUGUAACUGACACUGAGGCACGAAAGCGUGGGUAGCAAACAGGAUUAGAUACCCUGGUAGUCCACGCCGUAAACGAUGAGCACUAGGUGUCGGGACAUGAGUCUCGGUGCCGCAGUUAACGCAAUAAGUGCUCCGCCUGGGGAGUACGCACGCAAGUGUAAAACUCAAAGGAAUUGACGGGGACCCGCACAAGCAGCGGAGCAUGUGGUUUAAUUCGAAGCA
RNAcentral lists this ribosomal RNA (560 nucleotides) under [Eubacterium] saphenum. Its description in RNAcentral is "bacterial SSU rRNA". It matches the Rfam family "Bacterial small subunit ribosomal RNA", at positions 382 to 958 of the family's 1533-position model. The record is from RNAcentral. Lineage: Bacteria; Bacillati; Bacillota; Clostridia; Peptostreptococcales; Anaerovoracaceae.